UGGUCAUCUUAGGUCUUCAAGGGUUCUUUUAUCCCUUGCUUCUUAUUCAUCGAGGUCUUCUUCAUCGGUUACUCUUGUUCGCCUUUGAGGAUCUCGUGGCUAUUCUUGUUCGAAGAUGAGGUGCUUUCAGCUUCUUCUUGUGGCUAUAUUCAUUAAGAUAUGAAGCGCCCUUCUCAUGGUUAUAUUCAUCCGAAGAUGAAGCAUUCUUCUUGAGGCCAUAUUCAUCCAGAGAUGAAGUGCCUUCGAGAAAGUUGU
Molecule: long non-coding RNA, 255 nt
Filed under: Elaeis guineensis (African oil palm)
Lineage: Eukaryota; Viridiplantae; Streptophyta; Magnoliopsida; Arecales; Arecaceae
Description: long non-coding RNA (EGUI_LNC012854)
Source: RNAcentral